This 157-nucleotide non-coding RNA is filed under the name Bacteroides xylanisolvens. The record is from RNAcentral. Lineage: Bacteria; Pseudomonadati; Bacteroidota; Bacteroidia; Bacteroidales; Bacteroidaceae.
GGGAGAAGCAAUUAAAAGGGAAUCAGGUGCAAGUCCUGAACAGUCCCGCUGCUGUAAGUUCCAUAUAAGUUACAAGCAAUUCACUCAUUGCCACUGGAAACCAAUCCGGGAAGGCGUUUGUAACAGGAAUAAGUCAGAAGACCUACCAUGCAAAUAA